AACCAUAGAAACCUGCGGAGUACCUGCGGAGGGAUCAUUGCAAAUCAAAAAGCGUCAGGAGGCAUGUUUGUACGCGGCUUGCCGCGUGCAACAUGGUUAACUGACAAAUUUGGUCGAGGAAGUGGAAACACUCUCCUCGUAUUCACGCUUGUAUUGUUUGACAGAGUAUGUAAUCAUAUCAAAAUGACAACUUUCAACAACGGAUCU
Molecule: unclassified non-coding RNA, 207 nt
Filed under: soil metagenome
Description: partial contains 5.8S ribosomal RNA, internal transcribed spacer 2, and large subunit ribosomal RNA
Source: RNAcentral